This is a non-coding RNA of Cinara cedri, 764 nucleotides long. The record is from the annotation of a GenBank genome assembly. Lineage: Eukaryota; Metazoa; Arthropoda; Insecta; Hemiptera; Aphididae.
GUCGUGUUGUGUGAUGGUCGAAAGACCGUAAAUCCGUGGCGCACCGAUCGCGACUUCCAUACAGCAUCGUCGUCGUCAGCCGCGACUUCGCGGACCGACAUCGAACGUCUCGUACGGGAACAAGAUAUUCCGCGACACACGUACGUCCGUCCCGGAGAUGGCGACUCUGAUUUUCCGCUGCCACCGUCACCGCGUUCCGGGUAAGUCGAGACGAGUUUUUUUUUUUUUUUUCUUGUACAUUAUAUAGGUUUUUUACUUGUAGAAUAUACCGUAUCGUACCGUUAAAGACCGUCUAUUCGUCUGCACCGUGCAUACAUAUUAUAUAAGUGCAUUGUGCGUUUGUGCACGCAUACGACUUUUACGUAUACAGGUACUUAGUACGCGUGUACCGGAUAAUACAUAUUAUUAUUAUUAUUAACGAGUAUUACCUCCGCGAUUAUUUUGCAUAUUUUAAGUGGCGUUUUUUUUUUUUUUUCAUUGCACCAAACAAAUGUGUUUUUAACAAAUGUAACUAUUGUAUCUCCGAACACUUCGAGUGUUUUUCAUUUUUUAUUGUUUUUUGUUGUAUAGGUCAAUUUUGACGGAUCAAAAUUGUCAAAAGCAAAUUAAUAGCAAUACUAAGUGGUACUUACGGAGACGUGUUCAAUAUUUUAAUAUAAUCAAGAUUAAAACAAUGAAUAGCAUAAUAUAUAGAGUUCGAAUUAUGUAACAAUAUUGGUUUAAACAAUUUAUUGGUGAGUUUAUUGACAUUUAUAAUUAUUUUC